This 66-nucleotide transfer RNA is filed under the name Himaloaesalus gaoligongshanus. RNAcentral describes it as "tRNA-Ile". The record is from RNAcentral. Lineage: Eukaryota; Metazoa; Arthropoda; Insecta; Coleoptera; Lucanidae.
AAUAGAAUGCCUGAAAAAAGGAUUAUCUUGAUAGGAUAAAUAAUGUAUUAAUCAAUACUUCUAUUG